RNAcentral lists this long non-coding RNA (2549 nucleotides) under Physcomitrium patens. Its description in RNAcentral is "long non-coding RNA (PPAT_LNC004286)". Lineage: Eukaryota; Viridiplantae; Streptophyta; Bryopsida; Funariales; Funariaceae. The record is from RNAcentral.
AUUAUUCUCCAACGUUGUUGAAACAACUCAAAAGCCAUCCAUACAAAAUCCUUGAAAACUAAAAAAUCAGCUCCUUCAAAAUCCAACAAAUAUACUCAAAACCCCUACAAAAUUCUCAAACAAUUAAAAUAUAUUUGAAAACCCUAAAACACCUCCGAAACGCGAGAAACAACACCAAGACUGCAAAUAGGCACGACUCCUCAUAAAUAUCUGCGAUAACCUUAAAAUAGACAAUGGUUCUAAAAUUAAUCACGAAACCCUAAAAUAUGAGCGAGGCGCAGAUAGAAACGGAGUAGUGGUGAUGGGUGCCGGAGGAGCACGAGGGCACGCAGCACGCAUGAGUUGCGAUAAUCGAGGACGCGACACGCGAGAGAAAGGGAGCGAGGGAGCCAUUCGGUGGAGAAGAAUCGGACACGACUUGACCAGGCGUGCAUGGCGCUGUUUCCUUCACGCUUUUUCGUUGUUUCUUCAUAUUGUUUUCCAUUUAUUUGUUUAUUUCUCUGUUUCUGACUGGUUUUUAUUAUUUUUUUUUAUUUUGCUUUUUUCAUUCGCCGCCACUGGGACUUUAGAAAAGAGGUGGUGAUAGAGUAUAAACUUCCAGUGUUGCGGUGGGACCCGCAGCUUGCGACGCAUGUUGGCCUGAGGAGCACCGAAGUCAAGCCCCUCCUCCACGACUCCACCAUCUUCGUAGCCUCCGACUUUUGCAGCCUGGCGGGGAUCUCGGCGCCUCAUGGCUUGUAGCACCAUUUAAUGCGAUUAUUCGGCAUCGACUGUUUCGGUCUUGUCUGGUGUUUUUAUACUCCUUUUCCCCUUGCUUUUUCCUAAUCCUGUAAUUGUUUGCCUCUUUCCAUCGUUCAUCUCGAACUGUGAUGCUCCUGACGUUUACCUGUCUUCAGAGGUAUUACCGGAUCUAGCGAGGAUUGGAGUGCUUCGAGAUUUAAGAAUACGGAGGUCGAAGAUUGACCGUGGUCGGUGUGGCUGUGCAUGCGGCGACGGAGAGUUAGUAGGUCAAUCUCUAUCGUCUGCGACGUCACUUAUAGAACAGAUUGGACGGCUGAGUUUAAGCAUGAUCAAUCGUAAACUUCAACUUCUUCGUCGAUUUUCGGAUGUGUCCGUGUGAUUUUCUGCGCUCAAGCAAUCUUCAACUUUGAUUGUAUCAAUCGCGUGAGUGGGGUAGAAUCGACGCCAUCGCGUCCACCUUUACAUAGUUCGACUUUGUUGUGGAAAUGUGCCACAUCGGUGUUUCCUUUCUGUAUGGAAUUCGCGUUUGAAGAAGCAGCUGUUUCCUGUGCUGGUGACGCUGUGAAGUACGGGAUGAUCACCACCCUUCCCGCGGUUUCGGUGAGGUUCGCGGAUUCCAUUGAGAGCAUUGAUUGUAUUCGCUAGUGCCUUACCUGCGUUGAAUGGUAUGAAUGGAUUUAGGUUUUAGCGAAGAAGGAUUUAAACUCAAUUCUCUCAACUAGAUUUUCAUUUUUUCAAAUUGAACAAGUAGACUUCAUGACAAAGUUCAAGAUGUAUGCAUUACAUGUCCACCACUAAUUCUGGAUUCCACUUCACCUACUAACAUGUUUCCUUCCAUUGUCAAACUCAUCUAAUAGCUGAAAGUCAAGAUUAAACUUCGUACACCUUCGAAUUCACAAUACAGGUAACCGUUCCAUAUUAACAAUCAUUGUUUUGAAAAUUUCAACAUCUCACUAGUCCAUCAAGAGUGAAAACUGCGCAUCAUAAUUGUUCACAUCAAAGCGUCGUCUGUCCCCUCUGCCGAUGCCUAAAGAGAAUCACACAGUACCCAUAUUUUUAUACUUAUCAGACUCCAAAAGCUAUGCAACCAUAAACAGUGUAAGUUUGAUGGAGCAAUUAUCUAAAUCUAUGCCAGUGUAAACAGUCGCCUGGCUUGGAUCCAGCAGGUGAUCAUGGAAAUAUUACACAUUGGAAGGCCUAAUUACACACCGUUUUUUGCAGAAUGUUGGUUGUGUUGUUCAAUGAAAAAGGGGAUUGAUGUUCAGCUUCACUAUUUAUAUUAUUAGAUUCACAUACUCCUCAAAGCAUGAAGUUAAUUUGUUUGGAAUGACGAAUUUAUAAUCUGUGAGAAUAUCUGGAUCAUUUCUACCUCAUUCAAUUUGAUGUAGUGAUGUUAAUGUUCAUCGUUAAACUAAAAUUCUUCAAUUCAACCUGGACUAAUUUCAUAACCAAAACAUAAUUGCUGCGUGAUUAUGUUAAUGUUGAUUAGUUUUUGAGGAAAUUAUGUUUUCAAAUUAAAUUUUGCAUUAAAGACCAUUCAAUGAUUCAUCCUUCAUACAUCACUCAUGCUCUUGUAAUGAGAAUCCUUAGAAAUAUUCAAUAAUCCUUGAUGUUUACUUAAAGUAAAUUAAACUUGUUUAUAAAUUUUCGAAUUCAAUAUAAAUCUGGACAUUACUUUCCCAGUUUGUUCAUUUUGAUUUUAACACUUCCAAUAAAUAUUUAAGUGGACAGUCUCAAACCAUUCUUUAUCCUAUUAUAAAUAUGUAUGUAUAUAUAUAUAUAUAUAAAGAGCGAGAGAGAGAGAGAGA